UAGAGUUUGAUCUGGCUCAGGAUGAACGCUGGCGGUCUGCUUAACACAUGCAAGUCGAACGCAACCUUCGGGUUGAGUGGCGGACGGGUGAGUAACGCGUGAGAAUCUGCCUUGGGGUCGGGGACAACCACUGGAAACGGUGGCUAAUACCGGAUAAGCCUUUGGGUAAAAAAUUUAUUGCCCCAAGAGGAGCUCGCGUCUGAUUAGCUAGUUGGUGAGGUAAGAGCUCACCAAGGCAGCGAUCAGUAGCUGGUCUGAGAGGACGAUCAGCCACACUGGGACUGAGACACGGCCCAGACUCCUACGGGAGGCAGCAGUGGGGAAUUUUCCGCAAUGGGCGAAAGCCUGACGGAGCAAGACCGCGUGAGGGAGGAAGGCUCUUGGGUUGUAAACCUCUUUUCUCAGGGAAGAAGCUCUGACGGUACCUGAGGAAUCAGCCUCGGCUAACUCCGUGCCAGCAGCCGCGGUAAUACGGAGGAGGCAAGCGUUAUCCGGAAUUAUUGGGCGUAAAGCGUCCGCAGGUGGCGAUUCAAGUCUGCUGUCAAAGCACGGGGCUUAACUCCGUUAAGGCAGUGGAAACUGAAUAGCUAGAGUGCCGUAGGGGUAGAAGGAAUUCCCGGUGUAGCGGUGAAAUGCGUAGAGAUCGGGAAGAACAUCGGUGGCGAAAGCGCUCUACUGGACGGCAACUGACACUCAGGGACGAAAGCUAGGGGAGCGAAUGGGAUUAGAUACCCCAGUAGUCCUAGCUGUAAACGAUGGAUACUAGGUGUAGCUUGUAUCGACCCGAGCUGUGCCGAAGCUAACGCGUUAAGUAUCCCGNCUGGGGAGUACGCACGCAAGUGUGAAACUCCAAGGAAUUGACGGGGGCCCGCACAAGCGGUGGAGUAUGUGGUUUAAUUCGAUGCAACGCGAAGAACCU
Molecule: ribosomal RNA, 919 nt
Filed under: uncultured organism
Description: bacterial SSU rRNA
Rfam family: Bacterial small subunit ribosomal RNA
Source: RNAcentral